AUGAGGAACCUCAGGCUCUGGUUCACGCAAGUCACAGAACCUUUAGUCAGGGGUGUGACCCAGGCUGGGGGUGAGUUCAGAGCUGAGCAUGUGAUUCAAUCCAAGUCAUUCAUGUGCCCAUCAAAACCUUUGUGUUGGAACUGGCAAGAAGCCCUUCUUGAAGUGCAGCAUCAGCACCUUCUAGAUAGACAAGGAUCUGGAGAUGUCAACACAUUGCCUAAUGGCUUUGUUUGGCAAAUGGCUCAGCAGAAAGGGGCACAGAAUUUACCAUUCCUUUCGGUCUCUCAAGGUGUUCCUAUGAACUUUUUAAUGACCCAGUGUAAUGGACUCUUGCCUAGCUUCCAUGGGAUGUGAAUGAAUUGCUUUAAUAAAGAAAUCCUAUUGGUCUGGUGCGUGCA
This 398-nucleotide long non-coding RNA is filed under the name Oryctolagus cuniculus (rabbit). RNAcentral describes it as "lncRNA (ENSOCUG00000038165.1)". The record is from RNAcentral. Lineage: Eukaryota; Metazoa; Chordata; Mammalia; Lagomorpha; Leporidae.